This 425-nucleotide ribosomal RNA is filed under the name uncultured bacterium. RNAcentral describes it as "partial 16S ribosomal RNA". It matches the Rfam family "Bacterial small subunit ribosomal RNA", at positions 354 to 796 of the family's 1533-position model. The record is from RNAcentral.
GUGGGGAAUCUUAGACAAUGGGCGCAAGCCUGAUCUAGCCAUGCCGCGUGAGCGAUGAAGGCCUUAGGGUUGUAAAGCUCUUUCGUGGGGGAAGAUAAUGACUGUACCCCAAGAAGAAGCCCCGGCUAACUCCGUGCCAGCAGCCGCGGUAAUACGGAGGGGGCUAGCGUUGUUCGGAAUUACUGGGCGUAAAGCGCACGUAGGCGGACUGGAAAGUCAGGGGUGAAAUCCCGGGGCUCAACCCCGGAACUGCCUUUGAAACUCCCAGUCUUGAGUUCGAGAGAGGUGAGUGGAAUUCCGAGUGUAGAGGUGAAAUUCGUAGAUAUUCGGAGGAACACCAGUGGCGAAGGCGGCUCACUGGCUCGAUACUGACGCUGUGGUGCGAAAGCGUGGGGAGCAAACAGGAUUAGAUACCCGGGUAGUCC